UUGAGCAUGUUCGUGUUGUUAUUGUGUUAUUGCGUCUUUUAUCCAGGACGGUUGUCGUGUUUCUAUUUGACUCGAUCAGCUGUUUUUAUUUUUACUUUAACAGAUCUAUUUUUUAUUUUUUAUAUUUUUCUUUGACUACAUGUUGUUUUCUGCUCGCCUGCUCUCCGCCCUUCUCCACCUCUCUCCUCUCCCCUCCCAGUGAACAUGUCAGUCUCCAUGGUAACAGACUCGUAUCCAUCUAUCGACUGGUCAGCGGCCUCCGUGACCCCGGCGGGCACAAAUGUCACAGGGUGGGAGCGUGACGCCCUUCUUGCGAUGGCAGAGGUCGUGGUGUUGUCUAUUAUCUUAGUGAUGGCGCUGCUCGGCAACGGGCUGGUGCUGGUGGUGUUGCUAAGGAGGAGGCGGCACCACAACCCACUGCACCAGUUCAUGCUCAACCUGUGUGUGGCCGACCUGGUGGUGGCACUGUUCCAGGUGUUGCCCCAGCUCGUUUGGGAUGCUAAGGGCCGUUUUCCUGGCCCGGACUUCCUGUGUCGCCUGGUGAAAUACCUGCAGGUGCUCGGGAUGUUCGCCUCCGCCUACAUGAUCGUUGCCAUGACGGUGGACCGGCACUACGCCAUCUGCUGCCCCCUGCAGGCUCACCGCAGCGGGGCCACCCAACGCUGGAACAGCUUCGUGCUGCUGGCCUGGGGGCUGUCGCUGCUGCUCAGCCUGCCACAGGUUUUCAUCUUCUCCCGUUCAGAAGUGGCACCGGGCGUCUACGAGUGUUGGGGGAACUUCACCGAGUCCUGGGGCCUCAAAGCCUAUGUGACCUGGAUGACGGUGGCUGUCUUCAUCCUCCCCGUCCUCGUUAUCACCGUCUGUCAGGUACGAAUCUUCAACGAGAUCCACAACAAUCUGUAUCUGAAGUCAGAGCGCCGUCUGUCUCCCACCUCCCUGCCUCCAUCCAGACGGGACAGCCAGAGAACAGGAGGAGCAGGAGGAGGAGGCAGCAGAGGGAGGUCCAGUCUCCCCCUGUAUGUUUCACCACUCAUGUUUAACAACCCUGUGAGUCACACCAGCUUUGACCCCGGAUCCACCUAUCAGCACCUGCCCAUGGGGCCGCUCCGGUCCAACAGCAUCGCCUCACACUGUGACAUCCACACCUACACUGCUGUUCACACAGCUGAUCUGCAGCCCGACGUGCUGCCCGACCCCGCGGCGCCCUCUGCUGUCUGCUGCCCCCCGCCCAAAGCUCUUCCAGCCCGCGGUGGAGAGGUGUCAGCGGCCAUGUCGAAGACGGUGAGGAUGACGCUGGUCAUAGUGCUCGUCUACUCGCUCUGCUGGGCGCCGUUCUUCAGCGUCCAGCUGUGGGCCGCCUGGGACCCAGACCCACCUCAGAACGGUGCAGUGUUCACCUUGCUCAUGCUGCUGGCCAGUCUGAACUCGUGCACCAACCCCUGGAUCUACUCCGCCUUCUCCAGCAGCGUGUCCACGGAGCUCCGUCUGCUGCUGCUCUGCCGUGCGCGCACACAGCGGCGAGGCUCGCUCCCGAACGACUCCACCACCACACACACCUCCACCACACACACCUCCACCUACUGAACAACACACAAAGACACACACUCCUGUCGUGUCACACACAAAUAAUAAACACACGCAGCCGUGUUUGCAUCUUGUAAAUCUGGAGAAUGAGACAAAAACCAGUGUUUACUGUUCAAAGUGAAGAGAGUUCGACAUUUUGGGAAAUACACUUCACAGAGCUAAUAUUAAAAUUAACAUAAUUAGUCAUAAUUCACGGUUUUAAGUUAUAUUAAGUCAUAAAAACACGGAGUGUGACUGUACCUGACUAUUUCUUGGCGCCAAAACCGUUGCCAGGCAACCAGCGCUAGCACAGUUAGCUACUGCUAACUUAUCCAAGAAGUAAAAAUAAAUAAUCGUUUUUACGGUUUUUUAAAUGUAUUUUUUUAAUAAACAAAUACAACUUGUGAAUUGUUGAGCUCUAUAUGUGCUGACAGACAUAUUAUACACACACUAAUAACAUGUUGUAUCUUGUUUUAUAUAGCAAACAAAGUCAAGUUAAGCUAAAGCGAGUGGCUAAAGCUAUUAUGUGGUCGGUGUUUCGGUCUAACGAGCGACCGUGUCAAUUGGUGACCGUUAGCCGUUGUGAUUGGAUUAUUAGUUAUGUUUUUAUAUAUAUAUUGUAACGUUAAUUAAAAUUUAAAUAAAAUAAAAAGGAAUUCAUGAGGACAGUUACGUAUCUUCAUGUUUUCAACUACAACAACUACACCGUUUAGCUGACAGUCACCAGGUAACGGGGUCACUCAUUUAACCGAAACACCGGAUUAUUUGUUGGCAAACGAUUUGUUGGCGAAUUCGUGGAUUAUUAAUUAAACGGACACGAUCACAUACUGAAAUGUUAUAAUUUACGUUAAAACGAAGCGGAGAAACGACAGUUCACUGUUUUACAGGUGUUGUGUAUGUUUUACAGGUGUUGUGUAUGUGACCACUCCCUAACGGUUUGGAGCCGUUGCCAGGCAACUAGCGUCAGCUCUAGGUGGUUACCGCACAUUAAACGUGAAUUAGUGAGCUUUAAAUGUAUUUAGUUCACUAGUUAACACAUUUAUAUUAAAAACAAAGUCUAAAGAUGAGAAAUUAUGGUUUAUUAAAUUAUUUCCUUGAGUAAAACUUCAACCGUGAACAGCUACAACUCGCUAAUUAACACAUUAUAUCUCACAAAUCAUAUUAAUCUUUACACCAAUCUAAGCAUAGCAAUGACAAAUAGUCGUUUAUAGUCAUUAUUAUAGUCAUUAUGUCAUGAUAUCAUCUACAUGAUAUCAUGACAUAAUGAUGAUACUUCUUGCCAAGAAGUAUCAUUAUGUCAUGAUAUCAUCUACAUGAUAUCAUGACAUAAUGAUGAUACUUCUUGCCAAGAAGUAGUCAGGUACACAGCCCAUAGGAAAAUGGUGAAUUAUUGGUUUUAACUUAUUUUUUUGUUGUUGUACAAAUUAAACAAACACGAUAUAUAAGGUGUAGAUUAGUGAGCUUUAGCGUGCUCGUAGACUGAUUUGGAUAACUAUAGUCUAUUUCCCACAAUGUCCAACUAUUGUUAGUGAGUUAGUAAAAUAGGUAGUUUAGAUACAAACUGUUGUAAUAAAUUUGAUAAAGUGUAAUUAUUGAAAAUACAAUCGACUCAUUUCUUUUUGACAGAACACAACAAAAGUAAUAAGAGUUGUUUGAAAACACUUUAUUCAUUCUCUCACCAGGCAUAAAAACACUUACAAAACAUAGAAACAUCUACCGUGAUGGAAAUAAAAUAAAAAAAGAAGUCACGUUACUUUACAGAAACUUAAUACAAUAAUUUGUUCAGGGUUUUUUUUGUUUUUUGUUGCUGUGACUGUAGAGUAUCAUUUUAAAAACAAAGUCCCCUGCACUGGAAAACACUCGACAUUCAGUGUCUGAAUGAAAUGGUUUAAAUGAAGUCUGUUACAGUGUCACCUUUCCUUUUCAUAGACCUGCCUUAAAAAGGCAAAAUAACUCAAGGUUUUAGUCAAUUCUGAAUUUAUAUAUUUUACAUAUCCAUCAUGUGAGAAUCAGGGUUCAGAGCAGGGGAAUGUGGACACACUGAAGCAACAGGCCUGUCUCUACUCUGUCCCCUGAAAACUGGACCUGUCCAUUAACCUGGACAGAAAUCUGCUUUAAAUUCAUGUCCACAGACGGGUGGACACUUCAGGUACGAGAGAAAAAAAACUUCUCCCAUUGAUACCAACAAUACCUUAAAAAAGACUAAAUAACAUUUAAUUUAGACAACAACUUACACUUUGUAAUUAAUCGUUUUGAAAAGUAAUACUUAUAUUUGGUCAGUAUAUUUACCAAGAAGUCUUUCAAACAAACAAAAAAGGGUUGCAUACAGAACGUACACCCUUUAACACUUUCAUUUACAAUCCCAUUUAAACAGAUUCUUCAGAUUAAAGAGGCCAUAUUCUAUUUUCUUUUAAUAUUACUGUCAACAAAUCCCAUGAAAACAUUAAAUCCAACAAUGUACUAGUCCGUCUAUCAAUACUGUCUGGCCUCGUACCUCGUCUGUGGUUCCUAUUUGUUCUGUGAAUCCUUCGGGUCACAGAUUUAUAAAAUAUUUCCUAAAGCAGCUGGGAACUUUUUUCUCAAAUGUUACUCAAACAGGAGAAAAAAUACACAUUAGUGAGUACUUACAGGGGCAGGACUGAGUCCAAGUAAACUACAGUGGAGCCUUAAUUUGGAAAACGAUAUGUUUGGUAGUCAGUGAUGUUUUAAUCCUGUUUGAACUGUGACAUCAAGCACACGUGUGAUCAAUUUAAAAGAUGAUUUUGCAAGAAAAGUUGUAAAAAUGUUAAAAUGUAAGACUGGAAAUCCGCAUUUAUCAAGACCACACAGCUAAAGUUAAAGAGACUUUCUCUCUUCACAAACUUUUUGAGCUUUUAUAGAACUUGUAACUUCUAGUAGCUCUUAACACGUCCAGAUUUAAAAUGAUUUUUACAUCUUUUAAUACUUUUUUCCUCAUUCUGGGAGAACAGAGUAAUACCAGAAUCAGAAAUAUUUUAAUAAUCCCAGGCGGAAAUUAUUGUGCCUGAACGUUACUUUACUUUCUUUAGACAAACUGUGAUUUUUUUGACUUGCAAAAUUAUCUUUAAAAUUGACAAACUCCAAAAUAAAAGUCCCAUGUGGCACACAGGAAGAGGAGGGACUGUCGACUUUACUUCUCGUCACAGAGAAACUAUUUCCCGUCUGUUACAUAAGGAGUAAUGAAUGAAUAAACGAGGGACAGCGCCAUAGUUUUUCAGCAACAAUGGAGCUCUAUGACACAGUCAGGCAUUGUCCACGCUGACAACACUUCGAGUCAUUGUUGGUCUUUUCAGGGGUUUUGUUGACAAAAAGAAACAUCUUUUACACAUAAUGUUUCUAGCGCUCAGGGCAGACAACAAAUCAUCAGUCUGAAUCUUUAAAUGACAAGCAUGGAGCAGAAAACGGUGAAGCAUCCUUCAAAAACGACGACUCGUCGUCAUCGUUGCACAAACGAUAAAAGUUAAAAACAUUCAUACUAAAUGGUGAAUUGUUUAAAACCCUUCAUUUAUUUUCCCAGAAGAGAAAAUAAACGUUUAUCGAGGCCGAAUCCGUCUUUUGUUUUUUUCCUCUGGUCUGAACGCAGACCAAAGCUUCUCCGACAGACGUCAGCUGAUCGAUAUGAAACAUCGUGGAUCUGACAGGAAACGCUCGACGCAGCUUAGAGACCGUAGAUACUGCAGCGGCACCGUUUCAAACAAGUGAAACGACUAUUUUCUCACACACACACUCACACACACACACCACUCUCACUUCAUA
RNA transcript from Larimichthys crocea (large yellow croaker), 5337 nucleotides. It is a transcript of the gene named vasopressin V2 receptor, with no coding region annotated. The record is from RefSeq and is a predicted model, not a curated record. The transcript has 7 exons. NCBI's taxonomy places the organism in Eukaryota, Metazoa, Chordata, Actinopteri, Sciaenidae.